AGCGAACGUUUGCGGCGGGCCUAACACAUGCAAGUCGAACGGGCAGGGGCAACCCUGUCAGUGGCGCACGGGUGCGUAACACGUGGGUAAUCAACCCUUUGGACUGGGACAACCCGGGGAAACUCGGGCUAAUACCGGAUGUGGCAUGUUGGUCUUCGGGCCGGCAUGCGAAAGCCUCGCAAGGGGCACCAGAGGACGAGCCCGCGGCCCAUCAGCUAGUUGGCGAGGUAAUGGCUCACCAAGGCUAAGACGGGUAGCUGGUCUGAGAGGAUGAUCAGCCACACUGGAACUGAGACACGGUCCAGACUCCUACGGGAGGCAGCAGUGGGGAAUAUUGCGCAAUGGGCGAAAGCCUGACGCAGCCACGCCGCGUGAGCGAUGAAGGUCUUCGGAUCGUAAAGCUCUGUGGGGAGAGAAGAAUCAAGCCGGUGAAGAGCCGGCCCUGACGGUAUCUCCUUAGCAAGCACCGGCUAACUCCGUGCCAGCCGCCGC
RNAcentral lists this ribosomal RNA (492 nucleotides) under uncultured bacterium. RNAcentral's name for it is "bacterial SSU rRNA". It matches the Rfam family "Bacterial small subunit ribosomal RNA", at positions 29 to 518 of the family's 1533-position model. The record is from RNAcentral.